CUGAAUAGACGGGCNUCGAUCCCGCG
RNAcentral lists this transfer RNA (26 nucleotides) under Anolis cybotes (large-headed anole). RNAcentral's name for it is "partial tRNA-Asx". The record is from RNAcentral. Lineage: Eukaryota; Metazoa; Chordata; Lepidosauria; Squamata; Anolidae.